This is a long non-coding RNA of Quercus robur (English oak), 1158 nucleotides long. RefSeq lists it as uncharacterized. NCBI's taxonomy places the organism in Eukaryota, Viridiplantae, Streptophyta, Magnoliopsida, Fagales, Fagaceae. The transcript has 4 exons. The record is from RefSeq and is a predicted model, not a curated record.
AUUAAAAAACCGGUUAGAAAAAAACCCAGUUAAAAUAAAAUAAAAAAAGGCAUUGCAAUUAAGAAAACUCUACCGAUUUCUUUUCAUCAGAUUGCUUAAUAUUUUCUCUCUUUGAACAAAAAAACAAGCGAUACUGCGAUACAGAGAAAGGGAAGGAGAAAAAAAAAACUUGCAAUCUAGUGAAGAAUCGUGCGACCAAACGUUCGUCCCAGAGGUAUUGAGAGAGAGGCGAUGAAAUCGAGAGAGAAGCUAUGAAGACACGGAGAAAGAAACAGAAAAAGAGAGAAGCGAUGAAGACACGGUGAAACAAACAGAAAAGGAGAGAGGCGAUCCUGGUACACGGAGAAAGAAGAGAUCGCCUCUCUGUUUCUGACAGAAUGGCUCUCUGCCUACAAACAACGCCUCUGAUGGGUUCUAUUCUUUUUCUGAUUUAUUUAUAGAGAUAGAAAUAGAGAAAGAGAGGCGAUGAGGCUUGGGACAUGGAGAAAGAAACAGAGAAAGAGGCAGAGUUCAGUUUCCCCACCACCGUCCGUUCCCUUUCCAGAUUUAGACCACCAGAUUGUUGGAACCAACAUCGACAACGGGGCACAUUUGCAUUAGACGAAAAUUUUGAAGAACGAAGUGGAUUUUAAUCAGAAAGUGUUGAAGCCCAACUGAGGAUUUUUGGCAAAAACAAGUUUGAAGAGAAGCCAGUAACUAUCAACUGUCAUUCACAUAGGCAACAAAGCUCUACAUCAACUUUGACAUUCCAAAAGUCACAAAGGAAAUUAUGCCAAAAGGACCUCCUAAAGGACUGAAUGGAUAACUUUCUUACAUAAUAGAAAAAUAGUUGCUGAAAUAGAAGACUUGGAAGCAUAAAAAAUGCUUAAGAAUUAUGCACCAAGUUCUAUUCUUCAUACCCUUUUCUUAUUUACUUAAUUUUCUGUUUUAUUUCAGAUUAUGAGAGAUUUAAUUUUCUGUAUUUAGGCUAUGGUUUUGUAAUCUAAGCAUCCUAAGACUCUUAUAUCAACAUGAAUUUAAGUUUUGUAAUAUAUGUGAUUCUAAUUUUGAACUUAGUUAUAAUUGUAGAUUGUAAUUCAUUUGUCUCUGUUAGAUUGCCGCACUGUUCAGUGCAGCCUUAUUUUGGGAAUACAAGAUUGAUGAAAAUUGAGAAUGCUA